AGACCCGAAACCCGGUGAUCUAGCCAUGGGCAGGUUGAAGGUUGGGUAACACUAACUGGAGGACCGAACCGACUAAUGUUGAAAAAUUAGCGGAUGACCUGUGGCUGGGGGUGAAAGGCCAAUCAAACCGGGAGAUAGCUGGUUCUCCCCGAAAGCUAUUUAGGUAGCGCCUCGUGAAUUCAUCUCCGGGGGUAGAGCACUGUUUCGGCUAGGGGGCCAUCCCGGCUUACCAACCCGAUGCAAACUGCGAAUACCGGAGAAUGUUAUCACGGGAGACACACGGCGGGUGCUAACGUCCGUCGUGAAGAGGGAAACAACCCAGACCGCCAGCUAAGGUCCCAAAGUCAUGGUUAAGUGGGAAACGAUGUGGGAAGGCCCAGACAGCCAGGAUGUUGGCUUAGAAGCAGCCAUCAUUUAAAGAAAGCGUAAUAGCUCACUGGUCGAGUCGGCCUGCGCGGAAGAUGUAACGGGGCUAAACCAUGCACCGAAGCUGCGGCAGCGACACUGUGUGUUGUUGGGUAGGGGAGCGUUCUGUAAGCCUGUGAAGGUGGCCUGUGAGGGUUGCUGGAGGUAUCAGAAGUGCGAAUGCUGAC
This 593-nucleotide ribosomal RNA is filed under the name Salmonella enterica. Its description in RNAcentral is "partial 23S ribosomal RNA". It matches the Rfam family "Bacterial large subunit ribosomal RNA", at positions 711 to 1301 of the family's 2925-position model. Lineage: Bacteria; Pseudomonadati; Pseudomonadota; Gammaproteobacteria; Enterobacterales; Enterobacteriaceae. The record is from RNAcentral. RNAcentral also lists the same sequence under 1 other name.